Molecule: ribosomal RNA, 253 nt
Filed under: uncultured bacterium
Lineage: Bacteria
Description: partial 16S ribosomal RNA
Rfam family: Bacterial small subunit ribosomal RNA
Source: RNAcentral
UACGGGGGGGGUAAGCGUUGUUCGGAAUUAUUGGGCGUAAAGGGCGCGUAGGCGGCUUGGCAAGUGGAAGGUGAAAUCCCUCGGCUCAACCGAGGAACUGCCUUCCAGACUGCUUUGCUUGAGUCCGGGAGAGGUGAGUGGAAUUCCCAGUGUAGCGGUGAAAUGCGUAGAUAUUGGGAGGAACACCAGUGGCGAAGGCGGCUCACUGGACCGGAACUGACGCUGAGGCUCGAAAGUGUGGGGAUCAAACAGG